This is a ribosomal RNA of Gouania willdenowi (blunt-snouted clingfish), 118 nucleotides long. Lineage: Eukaryota; Metazoa; Chordata; Actinopteri; Blenniiformes; Gobiesocidae. The record is from Ensembl.
UUAUGUGGCCAUACCAACCUGUCAUUGCCUGAUCCCGUUAGAUCUCAGAAGCUAAGCAGGUCUGGGCCUGGUUAGUAGUUGGAUGGGAGAACACUGAGAAUUCCAGGUGCCACAGUGG